CUGAAUAAAGUUAUGGCCCAGAGCAAUGAGAGUAUGGCAAAAGAUACAGCGGAACACACAAGGAAGUGGUGGGGUAUCCAGAAAGGCUUCAAGAGCCUGAAGCAUAUGUGCAGUUGCUGGUGGAAGAGGGUCACUGUUAGGCAUUUCCGCCAUUGGAACUUGGAAUAUUAGAGAUUAUCACCUACUCUUCUUGAUGGAUCCUGCAGUAUCAUUUGCAAAUUAGGAAAAGAAAGAAUAAUACCAGAUAUUUAUGAAGAAGGCUUCAAGGUGUAUGAAAGCACUCAACAGCUUAAAUUUUCCCAGGAAAAUGAAAGAAACCAAAAUGAGAGAGGAGGGAGGAAGGGGAAGUUAUUUUGUUUUAGAAAACCAAAAUCGCUCCUGUUUUUCCUGUUUUUAAUUAGAAAGUAACAACUUCCACGUGGAAAGGGAAUCUGAUUAGAAAAAAAAGAAAGGAAAUUAAUAACUUCCAAGUGAAAUUGAGUUUCAGAUUCUUAACUAAGAAACUGAGAGCGAAACAGUUAUGAAUGUGAAAUCAACGACACCCAAGUUAUCAGAUUCUUGAAAACUAGCAAACUUGAAUUUAAUUUUCUGGAGAAAGUGAGCGAAAGCGAGAGAAAGUGAUAGAGAAACAGUUAUGAUUCUUAUAUAGGAAACAAAGAAAAUGAACUUGAAGAAAUAGAUCCAUACAGAAAGAAAGACAAGGGUUAGGAGAAUUUUACCGGAUUGGUGACCAAAAAGACCAAGAAAUUGCUGAAUGUGAAGUCAACAACCUCCAAGUUAUCAGAUUCUUGAAAGCUAGCAAACUCUGAAUUUAAUUUUCUGGAGAAAGUGAGACCGAAAGUGGGAGAAAGUGAGAGAGAAACAGUUAAGAUUCUUGAAUAUGAAACAAAGAAAAUGGACUACUUGAGAUGGAUCUCCAGAGAGAGAGAAAGAAAGAAAGAAAGCAAGCAAGCAAGAAAGAAGGAAAGAAAAGAGCUUCGAGAAUUUUACCGGAUUGAUGACCAAAAAGAUCAAGAAAUUGUUGAAUGUGAAAUCAACAACUUCCAAAUUAUAAGAUCGUCUCAGAUGGGUGAAAGCAGCAAGUUGAAUUUUCUAGGGAAAGUGAUAGAAAGCGAGUUUGAUAUUGGCGGGAAAGAGAGACGGUUAUGAAUGUGAAAGAGGAAUAGUAAUGAUUAUAUACUCUAAACAGUUUUAUGCAAGAUUGUCAUUACACUCAACAACCUUCAUAUUACCACCGUGCCAUCACAUGUUUUUAUAUUUAGAGUCAAACAUCAAAUAGAAUGCAUAUUAAAAAUUUAUCCCUUACUUGGAUCAUGAAUUUUUUAAAUUACCUUUUAUUUUUCUUUUGAAACAAUGAUUAAAUAUCAUGUUCUAUUAUUUUUUUUAUAAAAGAAAUAAGAUAUUCUAUAAUUUUUAUUUUGCUCUAUCUGAAGGAUGUAGUGCAUUAUUUUAUUAAAAUAUUCAUUGGGUAAGUACAAUAAAAUAAAUAUCAUCACCUUCCAAAAUUAGUUAUACCUCAUUCCUCAUUCCACUUAAUAUUAUAUGGUCAUGUCAAGGAGAUAUAAGUUUUGACAAGGUACCUUUGAUCUAGCCUGUGUGUUACAAAAUAAUUUACAAUCUUUUAGAAAUGGUGACUCGUUUUCAUAAAUCCAAUUUCAAUUCUUCCAUUCUUUAUUAAAUAAUUUCAACCAUACAAAUUAGAAACUUUCUAUGAUCCUUUAAUAAUAUCAUUAAUAUGAAAAUACAAUAUUUACUUAGAUUUAUAGUUUGCAUUGAUAAAUCAUAGCUUCUAUGAUCAAGUCCUUUGAAAAUUGAAUAUGGAUUUUUAAAUUUAUUUUCUUUUUAGGACCUUGGGUUAUUCAUGAUCAAGCUAAGUUUUAUAGCUCAAAAUUUUAUCUGAAAUAUUUUCUUAGUUUAGAUCCUUAAUUACCAUUUAAUGAUUGAAAUUGAAGUAUGUCACAUCGUUUAGGUUCUCACUUCUUUUAUAGAUUUGGCUUUAGGAUAUGUAACAAUAGGACAAACUUAGUUAACUAGUGAUUAAGGGAUAACAAGAAUCAUUAUUACUUCUAUAAAGUACUAUUGUACCUUCUUUAGUUUGAUUUUGACUUUAGUACUCUAUUCUAAAAUUGGUUUUGGUAAGCCAAGGUCAAAGAUCGUGGUUCUCCCAACCAAAAACAACUAAAAAGAACAAGCAACUAUUGGUAUAGUGGCUUGAUCCAUCCCAUAGGGACAGGUCUUGUGAUACCUAAUGGUGUAAAUAUCUAAGAUUUCCAGUCUAAAUCCUACGUUAUUUUUAACCUAAUCUAAUUGAAUUAGAAAGAUGAGCUUUUUAGGUUUCAAAAUGUACAAAAACAUACUAAAAAUAUAAAGUGAUCAAAUAAUGAUGAAAUAAUCUAGAAACAAGUUCACUCCUAAGUUCAAAUCUCAAGGAAAGUAGGAUCCAAUAUGCUCCUAUGACAGUCACACUAUUUCACAUUCAGUUUUCAACCUAUUAAGCCAUAUACUCAUCUCAAACACUAACCCUAGAGGCGUCGCAAUAAGGGAUCAAAUCGAAUCUUUGUGAAUUAACUCUUAUGAGGAAGCAUUCAUUAAAUCCAAUAAGAAUCAAACAUACAUAACCCUAAUAAAUUUUAAAGAGAGUUAUUUUUCCAUGUAAAAUUUGUGAGAAAGAUGAAUCUUAGAGUAAGGACAACUUUUCUUAACACUUUAGAUGCACUCCACUAAGACUUUCCCAUAGGAGAUCCACUUUUUGUAGAUAUAAUUGGUGUUUAGCCACUCAAUGUUAUUCCCACAUAAUGUAUUGAAUUCAUGAAAUCAAUAGAGAUUUAUUGCAAAAAUCAAAAGUAAGUUUUUGUGUUUUUCAUCCUUCCUCCUCGUAAAAAUCUCUCAUUAACUCUUUAUACUUGCAACCAAACCCUAAAAAAAAAAAAUCAAGAAAAUGCUUAAAAUGUCUGUUACAGAAUCAGAAUCUACCUUACUUAUGUAGUUGACUUACCUUAUUUAUGUAUUGAUUAUAGGCUUGAUUAUAGGAUGUAAAUAUAGGAGACUUACCUUAGAUAGACUAGCAUAGCAUGUAUAAAUAGAGAUGUUUCUGUUAUGAAUAAAGGAAGAGUUUACAUAUUCAUUUUCUUUCUCUACAUUUUACAUGGUAUUAGAGCCACGUUUGGCUCAAGGGAAUUUUCUAGGUUUUGGGUUUUGUUCCUAACAGUCUGGAACAGUAACCUGUUACGUUUUUUUUUAGUCUGGAUUGCGUCACCGCCAACCCAGGGAGGAGCACAUUAUUGUUUCCGGAGCGUGGGAGCACAUGAGGCCACUGUUUCUUCACUGAUUUGACUUUUCGACGUUUCCCAUCUCUCGAUCUGACUUUCUGAUGUUUCCCAUCUUUCCGACCAUUCUCAAGUGGCAUUCCGGUGUUCGAUCAACUGUUGAGAGGAACAUCUCCUUGGUAGGUUCUGUCCCUUUGAUUUGUUCUCUGAUUCCUUGUGGAUAUUCAUUUUGGGUAUCAGCUGUUUUUGGUUUACUGCUGGAAUUAUAUUGUGAAUAUCAAUUAAAAUGACUGACAACAAAGCUUCUAUAACUGAAAUAGUUCCAGCACUGUCCAAAAUAACUGAUCAUAAAUUAAAUGGCACUAAUUAUCUAGAAUGGAGCAAGACAAUUAGAGUUUAUUUGCGUAGUGUUGAAAAAGAUGACCAUCUGACCAUGGAAACCCUUGAUAAUGAAACUAGAAAGACUUGGAUAAGGGAUGAAAAAUGCACGUUUAUUCCUACAAAUAAGGAAUUCUAUUGAUAGUGAAAUUGUUGGACUACUUAAUCAUUGUGAGUUUGUUAAAGAAUUAAUGGAUUAUCUGGAGUUCUUAUAUUCUGGCAAAGAGAAUGUGUCCCGAAUGUAUGAUGUGUGCAAAGCCUUCUAUCGUGCUAAAAAGGAGGCCAAAUCUCUCACAACUUAUUUUAUGGAUUUUAAGAAGACUUAUGAGGAGUUGAAUGUACUUUUACCUUUCAGUACUGAUAUUAAGGCGCAACAAACUCAGAGAGAAAAAAUGGCAGUAAUGAGUUUUUUAGCUGGCCUUCCAUCUGAAUUUGAAACUGCUAAAUCUCAAAUUCUUUCCAAUUCUGAGAUUGGUUCACUUCAAGAAGUGUUCAGUAGAAUUUUGCGUACUGAAGGUACCUCAUCUAUCCAGUAGACUAAUAAUGUUCUUGUUGCCAAAGGAGGAAGCAAUGAUACUGGGAGAAAAUCAAACAACAGGGGAGGAAGCAAGACUUCUGAUAGCUAUAACAAUGAUUCAAGCAACAUUGUUUGCUACUACUGUCAUGAGCCAGACCAUACCAAGAAAUACUGCAAGAAAUUACAAAACCAUAAUCAAAGAAAUCAGAUUGCUAAUGUUGCCACCGCCUCUAGUACUUCUUCAAGUUCUUCUGAUAAGACGAUCAUGGUCUUAGUUGAUGGGUUUGCAAAAUUCUCUCAGUAUCAGGAAUCAUUGAAGAUUUCUACUUCGGUUACUGCUCUUGUUGAGACAGGUAAAACAUGUCUUAUCUCCUCCUCAAACAAAUGGGUAAUUGAUUCAGGUGCCACUAAUCACAUGAUAGGUAAUCCUAAAACAUUCUCUAGUUUUCAAUCACAUUUAGCCCCUUCUCCUGUUACCAUUGCUGAUGGGUCAACCUUUAAUGUUGUGGGUUCUGGGACUAUCAAACUAACAUCCUCUAUCACUUUGUCAUCUGUUCUAAGUUUACCUAAGCUUGCCUUUAACUUGAUAUCUGUCAGUAAACUUAACAAAGAUCUGAACUAUUGUAUCUCAUUCUUUCUUGACCAUUGCCUUUUUUAGGAUCUUAUGAUGAAGCAGAUUAUUGGUAAAUGACAUGUAUCUGAUGGUCUUUACAUUCUUGAUGCGUGGGUACCUCGGUCGUUUUCUUGUUCUAGCAUCGCUUCUUCAGUUAAAGCUCAUUUUCGUUUGGGACAUUCAUCUUUACCAGUGUUAAAGAAGUUAUGUCCUCAGUUUCAUAGUUUACCUUCGUUUAAUUGUGAAUCAUGUCAUUUUGCAAAGCAUCACCGUAGUUCGUUAAGCCCAAGAGUUAAUAAGAGGGCUGAAUCUAUUUUUGAGUUAGUACACUCUGAUGUUUGGGGACCUUGUCCUGUUACUUCUAAAACUGGAUUUCGAUAUUUUGUUACAUUUGUGGAUGAUUUUUCUCAAACGACUUGGAUUUAUUUUAUGAAGAAUCGGUUUGAAGUUUUCUCUCAUUUUUGCGCAUUUUGUGCUAAGAUUAAAACACAGUUUAAUAUCUUUGUACGAACAUUGAGAAGUGAUAAUGGUAAAGAAUAUAUGUCUAACUCAUUUCAUAGUUACAUGACUCAACACGGGAUUCUUCAUCAAUCCUCUUGUGUGGAUACUCCUUCUCAAAAUGGAGUUGCUGAGAGAAAGAACAGACAUUUACUAGAAAUAGCCCGGGCACUCUUGUUCCAGAUGAAGGUUCCUUAACAGUUUUGGGCUGAUGCGAUAUCUACUGAUUGCUUUUUGAUUAAUCACAUGCCAUCUACAGUACUCAAUGAUCAAAUCCCAUACAGUAUAUUGUUUCCAAAGAAGUCUCUAUUUCCAGUUGAACCACGAAUUUUUGGAAGCACUUGCUAUGUUCGAGAUGUAAGGCCAUCUGUGACUAAACUAGAUCCCAAAGCCUUGAAGUGUGUGUUCUUAGGGUAUUCUCGUCUUCAGAAAGGUUAUCGAUGAUUUUCUCCUGAUCUCAACAAGUAUGUGGUAUCGACUGAUGUGGUAUUUUCAGAAGAUACACCUUUUUAUUCUUCACCCCCAAAUUCAGAAAGUGAGGAGGAGGGUGAAAAUUGGCACAUAUAUCAAGAAACCAUCCCAAGUACUCCCACUGAUUCUUCUGAGCAACCACACGCUGUUGUUGACUUAUUGCCUACUCCAACUAAGCCACCAAUUGUUCAGGAAUACUCCAAAGGAGACAAAAGAUACAUGUCCUGCACCAACUUCUUCGUUAUCUGAUCCUCCCAGUGACCUUGACCUCCCCAUUGGUCUUCGCAAAGGUAAACAUCAAUGCAAAUCAGUUUAUUCCAUUGCUAAUUUCGUUUCUUAUGAUCACUUGUCUCCUUCUCGAGCGCUUUUGUUGCCCCUUUAGAUUCUGUCACUAUUCCCAAAAUUGUCAAGGAAGCCUUGAAUCACCCUGGAUGGUAUAAUGCAAUGCUUGAGGAAAUACAAGCUCUAAAAGUCAAUCACACAUGGAAUCUAGUUGAUUUACCAAUAGGAAAGAACGUUGUGGGAUGUAAGUGAGCCUUUGCAAUAAAAGUUAAUCUUGAUGGCUCAGUGGCACGACUGAAAGCCAGACUUGUAGUUAAAGUCUAUGCUCAUACUUAUGGGGUGGACUAUUCUGAUACUUUCUCUCCAGUAGCCAGACUUGCUUCAAUCCGCCUGAUUAUAUCAAUUGUUGCUUCUCAGCAUUGGCCCCUGCACCAACUGGAUAUAAAAAAUGCAUUCCUUCAUGGAGAUCUCCAGGAAGAAGUAUAUAUGGCGCAACCACCUGGGUUUGUUGCUCAGGGGGAGUAUGGGAAAGUGUGUCAUCUCAGAAAAUCUCUCCAUGGAUUGAAGCAGAGUCCUCGAGCUUGGUUUGGCAAGUUUAGUGAGGUGAUUCAAGAGUUUGGGAUGAACAAAAGCAAAGUUGAUCAUUCAGUCUUCUAUAGACAGUCAGCAAAUGGUAUUAUUCUUCUCAUUAUUUAUGUUGAUGACAUUGUCAUAACAGGAAAUGAUUGUGCAUGAAUUUCUUCUCUCAAAUUGUUUAUGCAUUCCAAGUUUCACACAAAGGACUUGGGCGAGCUAAAAUAUUUCUUAGGAGUAGAAGUAUCAAGAAGCAAAAGAGGAAUCUUCUUGUCACAGAGGAAAUAUGUUCUUGACUUGCAGAAACUGGAAAGAUGGAAGCCAAGCCAUGUAGCACACCGAUGAUCCCUAAUGUACAUUUGACGAAAGAUGAUGGUGAUCCAUUUGAUAAUCCAGAAAGAUACAAAAGAUUGGUUGGGAAAUUGAAUUACCUUACAGUGACUCGCCCAGACAUUGCUUAUGCAGUUAAUAUUGUCAAUCAGUUUAUGUCUGCACCUACAGUGAAGCAUUGGGCAGCCUUGGAGCAGAUUUUGUGUUAUUUGAAAAGAGCUCCUGGUAUGGGCAUAUUGUACAUCAAUCAUAGACAUGCUCAAAUUAAGUGUUUUACAGAUGCUGACUGGGCUGGAUCCUAAGAUGAUAGACGAUCCACAACAGGAUUUUGUGUCUUUGUUGGUCGGAAUCUUGUAUCUUGGAAGAGCAAGAAGCAGAAUGUGGUAUCUCGGUCUAGUGCAGAAUCAGAAUACAGAGCCAUGGCGCAAGCCACGUGUGAAAUUAUGUGAUUGUAUCAUCUUCUAAUUGGGAUUGGAAUAAAGACUCCCAUGCCAGAAAAACUUGGGUGCGACAACCAAGCAGCUAUUCAUAUCGCCUCAAAUCCAGUAUAUCAUGAAAGAACUAAACAUAUUGAAGUAGAUUGUCACUUUAUUCGUGAGAAGAUUCAAGAAAAUUUGAUUUCCACAGGUUAUGUGAAGACUGGAGAACAACUGGGAGAUAUUUUCACUAAGGCGUUAAAUGGAACUCGGGUUGAAUAUUUUUGUAACAAGCUGGGCAUGAUUAACAUUUAUGCUCCAGCUUGAGGGGGAGUGUUACAGAAUCAGAAUCUACCUUAUUUAUGUAGUUGACUUACCUUAUUUAUGUAUUGAUUAUAGGAUGUAAAUAUAGGAGACUUCCCUUAGAUAGACUAGCAUAGCAUGUAUAAAUAGAGAUGUUUCUGUUAUGAAUAAAGAAAGAGUUUACAUAUUCACUUUCUUUCUCUGCAGUUUACAAUGUCUAAAAAUGAACAAGGGAUCCAAAUGAAGGAAGUCUUGGAAAAAAAUAACAAAUUUUAUAAUCAAAAUUCCAAUACAUGAUCAUUGUUGUAUUGAAAUGUUCAAUAAAGGCCUUAUCUUUUUAGGUCACCAUUGAAACCCAUGGGUCCUUGUUGAAAUCAAUAUUGAAUCAUUUUGUCCUUGUAUCAAAAAGUUCAUCUUGAAUAACAUCAUUCCUCUUAGCCUUCUCUUGUUGUAUUAAACUCCAAUACACUCAAAUCAAGUUAAAUCACUCCACAAAACACUAUUUGCAUGGAUUGGUAUUGAAUAUGCAAAAAUGAAAGUAUUUUCCAAAAUCUUGAGCUUAUAUUGGCUUGGUGUAGAAAUUUUCAAUAGUGAAAAUUUGAUAAAUGAUUUUGUCAUCCCCAUUGGUAUCAAAAUUUCCUACCAAGGUUUUAGUUAUGAAAAUUAUGUGUAAAUGUUAUUGACUACAAUCGAUGAAGGAAACUAAGGCUUGACUCUCUAGGUGCUUUAUCAAAUUUUUGAUAAAUCACAUUUUGGUGUCAAAAUAGGUUCAAAAAAGGGCAUCAAACAUCCAAUUUUUGCUAUUCAUAUGCCUUGAACUUUAUCAAUAUUUUGAAAUGAUAAUUUCUAAAGAGCCUUCCAACAUUGAUUUCCCCUGGUGUCGAAAUGACUUUGAUACUUCCUUUAUAUUGAAAAAACUUAUUUCUUUUUCUUUUUUUUUUUUGCAUUCUUUCAUCCUUCUACAAAUCUCUAAGUCUUGUUCUUUGAUCUUGAUCCUUCUUUUGACCUUCUUAAGACCUUUUUCCCAACCAUAUCAUCCCUGAACUCCUUAAGCUAGCUUCCUUUCCUUCCUUUCCUUCUUCAAUUCUUGAGUCACUUUGUACAAUACUUAGCUUUUUAUUCUUUUUUUUUUCAUUGCAUUUUCACUAACUAGACAUGUUAGUAUACAUAUAAGAACUGAGCAUAUACUUAAGUUAAAAGACAAUGAUUAUCACUUAAAGUAUAUGAAAAUCAAUCUUUUGAGAAUAUAUAAACAAUGGCUUUGAGUGCUGCUCAUUUUCCUACUCCAAACUACAAAUAGAGUUUAUUAUUCUAUUACUUUAUCCCAACCAUUAUUGAAUCCUUUUUGGGUUUUUAUUUUACCCAUUAUUUCUCUAUAAUCCUAAUCUUAAACUUCCAAACUUUACGUCCUAGAGUAGUUAUGCGUUCCUCAUGGGUGUGUUGUCACAUACACAAUCUAUAGGAAAAAACUAAAUAGAAAUGUAUUAAAUCAAUGAAUCAAAACCAAAAGUCAAAACAUAUGAAAAAGAGAGCGAAUAUAACCUUAGGUCCAGCUUCAGGAACUACUUGCGUCAACAUAUAGGUGCUUCCAUGUUUCAUAAGUUGGGCAUUAGGCGGGAAAUCCCAUAUAUGGUGGCUUGGGAAAUGUCCAAAAAUGUGGGCCUCCCACUAUCUCAAAGCAUCAAGGUGAAUGGCACCACGGGUGUGAUUGUUGCCAUCUUAGUGCUAUUUUUUCUUGAGGCUUAAACUUGCAUAGUGCAAAAUGGUGCCAAGGCCUAUGGUAAUGCCAAGAUGGCACCAUCCUUGCUUCCAAAUGCUAAGUCCCAAUCCUUUGUUUUCCCUGUGCAAUGCCUCAAUAGCUACACCAAAUGGUAAACUCCAAGUAAAAAAUUAAAUCUUUUGACUUUGUUUAGGUUGGUUUGACUACGAUCAAUUGAGGAACAUGUAUGUCGUCUAUCAUGGGCUUAGUCUUAUAUACAUAUAAGAUUUUAAACAAUAAACACGACCAUGUAUAUUUUGUUUGUAUUAAUAUCCUUAAAAAACCAUUAUUAAUAUGAUAAUAUGCUAAGAUCUACAUGGAAUGUAUCCAUGUACUUUUGUACUUUUAACUUAUCUAUGUGUCUUUUCUAUAAAUAAAUUCAAGUAGGACGUGUCUAUCUUUAUAUGUUACUAAAUAUCAUAAAUAAUCAUAUAAGGCCUAUGAAAGUUUUAUGUCCUCGCGGGUUUCUUGAAAGUAAAUUACAUGAAGUAAUAAUUUAUAUAUGUUUUAUUUUAAGGUAAAUUAUAGUAAUUAUUAUUAAUCUUAAAAAAAAAAUAUAUUAUCUCACAUUUUUAUUCUAAAAUUAAAAAGUUCCAAUUAUAUUUAAAAAUUUGGAAGUAUCUUCCAUGGAAUAUGUCCCUCAUUAAUUGACCCAUUUUGAAGCAUUAAUGGGUCAGACCUUCAAUCCUUUUGGGCAUUGCAUCCUGGAUACCAAGAAUAUCUCUUCUAAUUUGAAUGGUAUUACUAGGUUUCUUAUGAAUUUAUUUAUCCCAACAUAAAAGCUUCUGAACACAUUCUACUAGAGGAACAAAUGACUAAAGCAUCCAUUGUUGCAUGCAACAGAGCUAGUAUUAGCUAGCAAUUGUAAUCCUACUUCAAGUUUCAAAUUUUAUUCAAUUGGUAUUACAUCACAAGUUUAUCACAUUGGAUAACUGCAUUGAGAUUCUUAGUAACAGAGACCGUAUCUAUGGAGAGCCAUCAGCCAUGAGCCACGUCAUUGAGCCAUUAUGGCUGAGGAGGAGGAGGAGAAGGAACUGGCAGCACAAAAUGGCCUACAUCGACAAUAGGGUGGCCUGGGCUCCGCCGAAGCUGCAUGUGAGAUCUUGAGCUUGAGAUUAGAGAUUGCCAACACGUAAAACAGAAGAUUGUGUGCAUGAUAAACAGAAGUUUGAGCGAAUGGUAUUUCUUACAACUUUCCAGCCAGCAGGUUGUGUGCAUGAUAAACAGAAGAUACGGGUCAAGCCCAAAUGAGCCGCCUGAUUUGCAGCUCUAAUCCCAUCAUAAGUUGUUAUCCCUAAGCAAGAAUCGAACAUGCUGGCGCUGCAUCCAUGAACAAAAUAAUAAUUAAAAGUAAUAAUUCUAUCUGUAAUAAUUCAAAGUAAUAAGAAUCGAUCAGAAAAUAAUAAUAUCACCCUACAAGGAGAACAUUCAUCAAACAAAUAUACAAGAAAAAUGUGAUUCUGAUAUAUGGGGAGAGACAUACUCGAACAUUUUGCCUGCUAAUAAAGCGUCAAGAGCAGUGGUUACAGGUGAUCCAUGUUGGAGUUAAGUCAGGAUUUCCAUGGAUUAUGGUUUGUUUCGCUUGUCGUCCCAACUAUCACUCUCCUUAACCCAUGCAUUUAGAAUUAAGUUUAUGAUAAAGAAUUAAUACAAAUAUUGUAACAAAGAUGAGAACCGAGAUGAAAAAGAUUCAAUAAGAUUAAUUUGAAAAGGCAAUCUGAUCAGAAAAAAGAAAUUAACAACUUCCAAGUGAAAUUGAGUUUCAGAUUCUUGACUAAGGACUAGUUAAGGUAUCCGGAAAAAGAAAGAAAGGAUUAGCUAAUAUACUUGUACUUGAUUGAUGAUGAAUGAACAAGACUAAGAAGAAAUUGCUGAUUGUGAAAUCAACAACACCCAAGUUAUCAGAUUCUUGAAAGCUAGCAAACUUGAAUUUAAUUUUCUGGAGAAAGUGAGACCUGAAGUGAGAGAAAGUUGAGAGAAUUUUACCGGAUUAAUGACCAAAAAGACCAAGAAAUUGUUAGAAUGUGAAAUCAACAACUUCCAAAGAUUGUCUCAGAUUUGUGAAAGCUAGUAAGUUGAAUUUUCUAGGGAAAAUGAGAGAAAGCAAGAGUUUGUUAUUGGUUUGAAAGAGAGACAGUUAUGAAUGUGAAAGAGGAAUAGUGACUGAUUCUAUAGUGUACUCUGAAUAGUUAUGGAAGAUUCUAAUUAAUCUCAACUAAUUUUUUAAAAAUCGUAAAAUUUAUUACAAAAAUUCUGAAUUGUUGACAAAAAUUUCAACAAUUUCCUUGGUAUGAAAUUUACUAGUUAAAGUUUAUAUCUUUUUACAAAAUAUACAACUUUUAAAAUAACUUUUAUAUUGUGAGGAAUAACUUCUAUAAAGAACGGGUCCUAUCCAUUUAGUCGAAAAAGAAUCUCCCAUGUGCUAGUUUUCUUUUAUCUCCAAGCUUGGUUGUUCUUCUUUAACUCUCUACAAAGCUUGGCAUUUUGUGUGUGUGUUUUUUUAUUUAUUAAAUUAAGACAAUGAAUUGGUUAUACAAUAUGUGCUUUAUAUAUACCCAUAGGAAUCCUAAUUAAACCUAGACUUUGUUUCUUUACUAUCCUAAAAUUAUUAAUAUUUGAAUUUGGUUCUUUUGAUGUUGAAAUCCUAAUUCUAUUAGGAGUUUAGUUUUAAAUAUAUUAGGUUUUUAUAAUUGUUUAUAUAUAUAUUAAAAAACAAUAGAAAACAUGGUGUGAUAAUUUUUACAUAAUUAUUUAUCAUCUCCUUUAUUUAUUUAAUUUUUUCAUUCCUUUUGUGUGGAGAAAUUGUUCUUGUGCUGGAAAGAUUAUUUUUGGUUGCUCACAUUUGGUAUAAGCACUUGACGGUUAAGAUGCAAGCAAUUAAUUAUAAUAAUAUAAUCCAAUUCCAGUUUCCAAAUUUUGAUGGAAAAAAUAAUUUUGAAUUUGAGUAUCAAGAUAUUCGGGGAGUAGUAAAUCAAUGAUUUGUUGUACCAACAAAUCAAGCACAACUCACACAAGUACAAAAGUACAAUUUGGAAAAUUCCAAAAAGAAAAUUUUAAGGACUCGCACCUUUGCAUCUAUUAGUCGAUAGAAACAACUAUUUUUAAGAAGAGUACAAUUGCAAUCACACAAGAAAGGUGCAUGCGACAUUCUUUUGAAUACCGACAAAGGGGUAUAGAAGGAGCAGAAGGCUCUAUCAUAGAUUUUGAGAAAACAAUUCAGGCUUUUUUAGAUUUUGAAAACAAAAAAGAGUCAUUGACUAUUUUUUACAAACAUUAACUCUUCUUAAUCAAAUGAAAUAUAAUGGUGAAAAUGUUUCAAAUCUCCAAGUUGUGGAAAAAAUUCGUCAAAUCUUAACCAUGUAAUUUGAAUACAAGGUAACAAUAAUUAUUGAAAGAUCUUCGUACUAUGACGUUGGGUGAAUUGAUGGAUUCCUUACAAGCCCAUGAACAACACUUAGAUGAAAGGUCUUAGAUUGAGGCAAAAGAAGCACUAGAAAGCCAAGUAAGUCUUAGAAGAGAAAAAAUAAGUCUCAAAAUAAUUCUAAAUCAAGUAAAAAAGGUUAAAAUUUAUAGAAUAGAGGAUAAGAAAAUUCUAACUCAUGCUAAAAAGAAGGAAGAGGUAAUAUUUUAACUUAAAGAAAUAAUAAAUCUCAUUUUUAAUAUUAUAAUUGAAAAAAAUAUGGUCAUUACAAGAAAGAAUGUAGGGCUUGGAGAUAUGAUGAGAGGAAUUUCUAGGUUAAUGCUAUAGAAGAUAAAAAUGAAAAUUUAGAGACCUUGUUAUCAGCUUAUAGUGCUGGAAGGGAUGAAAAAAAAAGUAUAUGGUUUUUUUAUAUAGGCUAUAGUAAUCAUAUGUUUGGUAGGAAAGAAAUGUUUUCUGAGUUAGAGAAGACUUUUAAUUCAGAGGUAAAAUUUGGGAAUGAAUCAGUAGUACCAGUUAGGAGUAAAGGUAAGAUUUCCAUUAAAUUGAAAGAUAAAUCCUAAAAUUUUAUCUUUAAUUUGUUAGAUGUUCCAUGUCUUCAUCAAAAUCUAUCAAGUAUGGGGAAACUUUCAGAUAACAAAUAUGAUAUGCAGAUCUAUAAGGGUAUCUAUACCAUCAAUGAUGAUAAAAAAAAGGACUAGUGAAAAGGUAAAUAUGACAUAAAAUCAUUUAUUUUCAUUAAAUAUUAAUUGUGGAUAAUUACCUUUCUUUAGCUCUAUAAUUGAUGAUAGAAAUUGGUUAUGACACUCACGUUUUGAACAUUUAAAUUUUAAAAGUCUAAAAUUACUUGCUACUAAGAAGAUGGUUUCUGAGUCGCUUUUUAUUAAUUCUUCAAAUGAGGUUUUAAGAAAAAAGCUUAGAGAUAAUUUUCCUAUCAAAAAAUCAUGGGGAGCUAGGAUGUCUCACAAGUUGAUUCAUUCAAAUCUACGUCCAAUGGAGGUUCUCUUAAAUGAAGGUCACAAGUAUUUUCUAAAUUUUUUUUAAUGAUUUUAGUCAGAAGGCUUGGGUUUAGUUUUUUAAAGAAAAAAGGAGAUGCAUGUGAAAAUUUCAAAUUUUUUUAAGUUUAUGUGGAAAAACAAAGUGAAUAUACAAUCAAAAUUUUGAGAAUAUAUUAGGGUACUAAAUAUACUAUUAGUGAUUUUUUUUAAAAAAAAUGCGAUAUUGAGCAUCAAUUGGCCACAAGGUAUGCUCUACAACAAAACAGAAUUGUAGAGAGAAAAAAUAGAAUAAUUAUGGUUAUGGUGAGGUGCAUGUUGCACUUAAAACAAUUGCCUAGAAUAUUUUUGGGCCUAAACAAUUUCUUGUGCAGUUUAUUGAUUUAUUGAAUAGGUGCUCCACUAAAAGUGUUUAUGCAAAAACCCCAAAAGAAGCUUGGAGUCAUAGGAAGUCUAACAUUGGUUAUCUAAGGGUGUUUAGUGGCAUAACAUAUGCUUAUGUACUUGAUGCAUUGGAAAAAAAAAAUAUGAUGAUAAAGGUGAAAAGUAUAUUUUUGUUUGUUAUAACAAAAGGCUAUAAAUUGUACAAUCCACAAACCAAGAAGGUUAUUGUCAAUCGUGAUGCGAUUUUCUAUGAGCAAGUAGUAUGAGAUUGGUCCUCUAAUAAAAAAGGACCAUCAAGUGUACAUAUUCAUCUUGAAGAACAAAGUGAAGAUCAAAGUAUGAAUCCUACUAUUACACCAAUUAUGACUCCAUGUCUGAUAGAGUCAUCAAGGUGUCCAUAAUGUCAACAUGUUUUACCUAUAUGUUUGCAUGAUUAUGUGGUUGGUUGUGACAAGGACCUAACAAGGGAAAAAAUGAUGAAUUUUGAUUUAUUAAAUUAUAAGAAAGUUGCUUAAGAUGAUUGUUGGCUUGAAGCUAUAGAUGAAGAAUUUCAUAUAAUUGAGACAAACAAUACAUUAUGCAAUUGAGGAAAUAUAUUAGAGUUGAAUAUGAUGUUGUAAAACUGACUAGAUUCUCUUUGGACCUUUUCUUUUUUGGUCUUAUCUUGAUUCAUAUAUAACUUGUAAUGAAAGUUUGGCUUGCAAGAUUUCAUGUUUUCUCUACUGUUCUUGUAGGUGUUGCCUCCAAUGACCAUUCCAACAUAGUCCAAUGCCACAUCAAUAACAUUUAAGUUUUAUAUUUUUGUUUCACAAGAUUUACCUUUUUGCAAAUUUCUAGCUAUUGGCUUUGUGCCAAAAAUUCAAGACUAUGUGGCAUUCAUGUUAAGAAGAAAGUGGACCUGUAUGAAUUUUGAUUUUCUACAUAUGUAGUGGUAAUAUGACCUUACUUUGGGUAUAAUUAUUGGUAGUAAUCUAAAAACUCAAGCGGAUAUUGCCCAUCUCUAUUGCAUUUCAUGCCAAACUUUUGUUGGGUGGAGAAUAGUUAGGAUAUAUAUUGCUUUAUAACUCACAAAUUAAUUAAUUUUAUUUCAUAUAUAUGAGUUCCAAUCUUAUGGGUGAAUAAUUUUGCAUUCAGGUUUGCGAGCACAGACAACACAUAUGAGUUCUACUUUUUUUAAUAUAUUAAUAAGCUAUCAAACUUUUUUAUGUUUAUAAUUAAAAAAAGGAAAAAAAAAACCCUGAAGAUUAGUUAAGUUAGCUUAAUAUAAGGAUUUAGUUUAUCCAUAAAUUAUAAAUUUUUUAAAAACUUCUUAUUAUCUUAAUAAAUCAAGUGGUUUUUAAUUAACAAAAAAGAAAAAUAAAAUGUUGGACGAGUAAUUUUAUUUUGGAAUAAGUAGCCCUUUUUGUUAUACAUCACAAAAUAGUUUUUUUUUUUUUUUUAACUAGAACAUACAUAACAAUAGUACUUUUUGUACCUAAACAUAUUCGAUUUGCAAUAGAUAUAUAUAUAUAUAUAUAAACCAUCAUAACUUAUAUAUCCAAAGUGGUUUUUAUAUGAUUUCAAUUCAUAAGUAAUUGAUAAUUUAUAUAUGUCAUCAAAUAAGAUGAAUUUACAAGACUCAACUUUUGAAAAAAUAUCAUCUAAAAUACACUCGACACAUCAAAACAUUUACACUGAAUAGAAAUGUAUAGAAAACUUUACAUUGGAAACACAGCCUCUAUGCCUACAUCACCAUCACAUACGAGUACAAAAUGGCCUACACGGAUUACAGGGUGGUAAGCAGACUGCCGAAUCUGUAACAUAUGUUCCAUGAUUAUCAAUCUGAAUAUCAAAUAACAUAUAGAUAAAUCAAGGAGAAAAUUAAUUAAUUUGUUAAAUAUAUAAAUCCUUACUAUUCUCCACCCAAGCCAGCUUCCACAUGAAAUACAGUAGAUAUAAACCUUAUCCACAAGACUCCCUGCAGGAGAUUCACCUACAUAUGCUAGCACUGAGUAAUGUUCUCUAAUAUUCACACCAGCACUGCACACUUGGAACAUCAGAAUAGAUCAAAAAUCAAGAACAGUUAAAAAGACUAUCAAAAUGCGUUCUGAUAGCAUUGGAACCUUACGCGUUAUCAAAGAGGAGCUGAGCCGUGGAAAAUGGAUAAAGAUCCUACAAGAAUAGCAAAGAAAUUAAUUAAGCAUGAAAUCUUGCAAGUGAAUCUUAAUUAAUAGAAAAGAAAAAGUACCUGAAUAUAGUUGUGGCCCUGAGCAAUGAGAGCAUGGCAAAAGAUACAGCGGAACACACAAGGAAGUGGUGGGGUAUCCAGAAAGGAUUCAAGAGCCUGAAGCAUAUGUGCAGUUGCUGGUGGAAGAGGGUUACUGUUAGGCAUUUCCGCCAUUGGAACUUGGAAUAUCAGAGAUUAUCAGCUACUCUUCUUGAUGGAUC
RNAcentral lists this long non-coding RNA (16630 nucleotides) under Vitis vinifera (wine grape). Its description in RNAcentral is "long non-coding RNA (VVIN_LNC004921)". Lineage: Eukaryota; Viridiplantae; Streptophyta; Magnoliopsida; Vitales; Vitaceae. The record is from RNAcentral.